Long non-coding RNA from Neofelis nebulosa (Clouded leopard), 841 nucleotides. RefSeq lists it as uncharacterized. The record is from RefSeq and is a predicted model, not a curated record. NCBI's taxonomy places the organism in Eukaryota, Metazoa, Chordata, Mammalia, Carnivora, Felidae. The transcript is spliced from 2 exons.
CAGCAGCUGACAACUGCUGAGCUCUCCUUCGACCUUUGGAUGGUGGCUGACAGCCUGUUUUCCUUCCACAGGUGCAGAGCUGAGAAUGCGACUAGGACCUCCCGAUAAGGGCAGCCGUCCAGCUGGCAUGUGGCAGAUCCCCAGGCAGGGUCACUGGCAGUAUUUGAGCAAUCUCUUUUUCCCCAGGUCACUGUAGUCACAGAGGGCAUAAGUGACAGAGUGCCCCAGCCUGUCGCUGGUCUCUGUUGACAGUGAUGGGAAAACAUCCCCAUCGUCAGCACAUGCAUGCAGUGGUGGUACCGUGGCACCUACGGGGGACACCGUAAGCCACAACACGCGGAUGAUACAAAUAGGCAAGAGUCACCAGAAGAAGUUGUCCACUAGAGAAAUCUGCAUGGGAUUCAGAAGAGGGAAAUGAAGGAGAAGCCCUUUCUUCAGCUCUCCGAAGGACUCUUCUGCAGCCCUCCAAAGGUGUCGUUCAUCUAUCCGUUAGAGCUGUGGACCUGGGGUGGUGUCUCCACCAGCCCCAAUGGUCAGCCCCUUCUGGCCUUCGCGUCCUGGGCCGGGCAGGCGUGUAAGGCCAUGGUGAAAAGAGUUCAGCUGCUCCUGUGGCUGACGUAUAUCAUGGGGAUCAGAGGCAAAGAGAAGAGACAAAGUUCUCGUGUACCUCGGAGGUUCUAGACUGUCUUUGGUCUCCCCAAUUCCUGCCUAUCUUCCCAACCACCAGUUCUGCUGACGUCAGGCCUGGUGCCAGAACCAGAAUCAAGGGACCUUGAGAACGCUUACUCAGCGCCCACAAUUGCUUAAGGUUUAAUCACAUAAUAAAUCCCUUUUCUGUCCC